RNAcentral lists this ribosomal RNA (494 nucleotides) under uncultured bacterium. Its description in RNAcentral is "partial 16S ribosomal RNA". It matches the Rfam family "Bacterial small subunit ribosomal RNA", at positions 30 to 507 of the family's 1533-position model. The record is from RNAcentral.
AUUGAACGCUGGCGGCGUGCUUUACACAUGCAAGUCGAACGGCAGCGGGGAGGAGCUUGCUUCUCUGCCGGCGAGUGGCGAACGGGUGAGUAAUACAUCGGAACGUGUCGAGAAGAGGGGGAUAACCACCCGAAAGGGUGGCUAAUACCGCAUAAAUUCUGAGGAAGAAAGCUGGGGACCUAGGAAUAGGCCUAGCGCUUUUUGAGCGGCCGAUGUCGGAUUAGCUAGUUGGUGAGGUAAAGGCUCACCAAGGCGAAGAUCUGUAGCGGGUCUGAGAGGAUGAUCCGCCACACUGGGACUGAGACACGGCCCAGACUCCUACGGGAGGCAGCAGUGGGGAAUUUUGGACAAUGGGGGCAACCCUGAUCCAGCCAUGCCGCGUGUAUGAAGAAGGCCUUAGGGUUGUAAAGUACUUUUGUUAGGGAAGAAAAGUCAGCUGUGAAUAAUGGCUGAUACUGACGGUACCUAAAGAAUAAGCACCGGCUAACUACGUG